GUGGGAGUUCUCCCUGUCCUUUCCUACGUUAAGGUCUCCUGUUUCCUAUCAAGAUAAUGAAGAAGAGGCGGCACAAGCUUACGAUCGUGCUGCAUUGAUUUAUCGUGGCUCUCGAGCGGUGACCAAUUUCAACAUCAAUCAAUACACGGAGGUUCGAACACUGUCAUCAGAACCGUUGCCACUACCCUCACAACAUCAAAACUUAGUUCAUCCCAUAACGCUCUCUAAUCCAACUUGUUCCUUUGGUGGAACAAUGGCGAUGGUUGAUGACAAUAACGAACUCUCGUGGAGCGGCUCGCGAAUGGGCUCGAGCUAUGAAACCUUCUCCAUCUCUGAUUUGUUCUUUGACUUUAAUGUAUCUGAUGAUCAUGUUGGAGGACUCAUCAAUGACAUUGGAGAACUCAUUGAUGACAUCGAAAGGCUCUUUGAUGAAUCAUGGGUCGAUCAUUUCAGUGUGAAUGGUGAGGACAAUGAGAAGUCAAUGGCAGCUAUUUCAUCUGGUUCUGAUGAAA
This is an RNA transcript of Dendrobium catenatum, 512 nucleotides long. RefSeq lists it as uncharacterized. Lineage: Eukaryota; Viridiplantae; Streptophyta; Magnoliopsida; Asparagales; Orchidaceae. The transcript is spliced from 2 exons. The record is from RefSeq and is a predicted model, not a curated record.